RNAcentral lists this transfer RNA (72 nucleotides) under Marmota marmota marmota (Alpine marmot). It matches the Rfam family "tRNA". From Rfam's summary of the family: Transfer RNA (tRNA) molecules are approximately 80 nucleotides in length. Their secondary structure includes four short double-helical elements and three loops (D, anti-codon, and T loops). Lineage: Eukaryota; Metazoa; Chordata; Mammalia; Rodentia; Sciuridae. RNAcentral also lists the same sequence under 1 other name. The record is from Rfam by way of RNAcentral.
GGAGAUAUAGCUUAAUGGUAGAGUACUUGCCUAGCAUGCUUGAGUCCCUGGCUUCAAUCUCCAGUACCACCA